This 292-nucleotide ribosomal RNA is filed under the name uncultured bacterium. RNAcentral's name for it is "partial 16S ribosomal RNA". It matches the Rfam family "Bacterial small subunit ribosomal RNA", at positions 505 to 796 of the family's 1533-position model. The record is from RNAcentral.
GUGCCAGCAGCCGCGGUAAUACAGGGGGGGCGAGCGUUGUUCGGAAUUACUGGGCAUAAAGGGUGCGUAGGUGGCUUGUUAAGUCAGGGGUGAAAGUUUUCGGCCCAACCGGAAAAUGGCCUUUGAUACUGGCGAGCUCGAGUGCGUGAGGGGUAACCGGAACGAGCAGUGUAGCGGUGAAAUGCGUAGAUAUUGCUCGGAAGGCCAACGGCGAAGGCAGGUUACUGGUACGCAACUGACACUGAGGCACGAAAGCGUGGGGAGCAAACAGGAUUAGAUACCCUCGUAGUCC